This 1227-nucleotide ribosomal RNA is filed under the name Escherichia coli. RNAcentral describes it as "partial 23S ribosomal RNA". It matches the Rfam family "Bacterial large subunit ribosomal RNA", at positions 1 to 1268 of the family's 2925-position model. The record is from RNAcentral. Lineage: Bacteria; Pseudomonadati; Pseudomonadota; Gammaproteobacteria; Enterobacterales; Enterobacteriaceae.
GUUAAGCGACUAAGCGUACACGGUGGAUGCCCUGGCAGUCAGAGGCGAUGAAGGACGUGCUAAUCUGCGAUAAGCGUCGGUAAGGUGAUAUGAACCGUUAUAACCGGCGAUUUCCGAAUGGGGAAACCCAGUGUGUUUCGACACACUAUCAUUAACUGAAUCCAUAGGUUAAUGAGGCGAACCGGGGGAACUGAAACAUCUAAGUACCCCGAGGAAAAGAAAUCAACCGAGAUUCCCCCAGUAGCGGCGAGCGAACGGGGAGCAGCCCAGAGCCUGAAUCAGUGUGUGUGUUAGUGGAAGCGUCUGGAAAGGCGCGCGAUACAGGGUGACAGCCCCGUACACAAAAAUGCACAUGCUGUGAGCUCGAUGAGUAGGGCGGGACACGUGGUAUCCUGUCUGAAUAUGGGGGGACCAUCCUCCAAGGCUAAAUACUCCUGACUGACCGAUAGUGAACCAGUACCGUGAGGGAAAGGCGAAAAGAACCCCGGCGAGGGGAGUGAAAAAGAACCUGAAACCGUGUACGUACAAGCAGUGGGAGCACGCUUAGGCGUGUGACUGCGUACCUUUUGUAUAAUGGGUCAGCGACUUAUAUUCUGUAGCAAGGUUAACCGAAUAGGGGAGCCGAAGGGAAACCGAGUCUUAACUGGGCGUUAAGUUGCAGGGUAUAGACCCGAAACCCGGUGAUCUAGCCAUGGGCAGGUUGAAGGUUGGGUAACACUAACUGGAGGACCGAACCGACUAAUGUUGAAAAAUUAGCGGAUGACUUGUGGCUGGGGGUGAAAGGCCAAUCAAACCGGGAGAUAGCUGGUUCUCCCCGAAAGCUAUUUAGGUAGCGCCUCGUGAAUUCAUCUCCGGGGGUAGAGCACUGUUUCGGCAAGGGGGUCAUCCCGACUUACCAACCCGAUGCAAACUGCGAAUACCGGAGAAUGUUAUCACGGGAGACACACGGCGGGUGCUAACGUCCGUCGUGAAGAGGGAAACAACCCAGACCGCCAGCUAAGGUCCCAAAGUCAUGGUUAAGUGGGAAACGAUGUGGGAAGGCCCAGACAGCCAGGAUGUUGGCUUAGAAGCAGCCAUCAUUUAAAGAAAGCGUAAUAGCUCACUGGUCGAGUCGGCCUGCGCGGAAGAUGUAACGGGGCUAAACCAUGCACCGAAGCUGCGGCAGCGACGCUUAUGCGUUGUUGGGUAGGGGAGCGUUCUGUAAGCCUGCGAAGGUGUGCUGUGAGG